This 497-nucleotide ribosomal RNA is filed under the name uncultured bacterium. RNAcentral describes it as "partial 16S ribosomal RNA". It matches the Rfam family "Bacterial small subunit ribosomal RNA", at positions 28 to 507 of the family's 1533-position model. The record is from RNAcentral.
GAUGAACGCUGGCGGCGUGCCUAAUACAUGCAAGUCGAGCGAACAGACGAGGAGCUUGCUCCUCUGACGUUAGCGGCGGACGGGUGAGUAACACGUGGAUAACCUACCUAUAAGACUGGGAUAACUUCGGGAAACCGGAGCUAAUACCGGAUAAUAUAUUGAACCGCAUGGUUCAAAAGUGAAAGACGGUUUUGCUGUCACUUAUAGAUGGAUCCGCGCUGCAUUAGCUAGUUGGUAAGGUAACGGCUUACCAAGGCAACGAUGCGUAGCCGACCUGAGAGGGUGAUCGGCCACACUGGAACUGAGACACGGUCCAGACUCCUACGGGAGGCAGCAGUAGGGAAUCUUCCGCAAUGGGCGAAAGCUUGACGGAGCAACGCCGCGUGAGUGAUGAAGGUCUUCGGAUCGUAAAACUCUGUUAUUAGGGAAGAACAAAUGUGUAAGUAACUAUGCACGUCUUGACGGUACCUAAUCAGAAAGCCACGGCUAACUACGUG